Molecule: non-coding RNA, 786 nt
Organism: Poecilia reticulata (guppy)
Lineage: Eukaryota; Metazoa; Chordata; Actinopteri; Cyprinodontiformes; Poeciliidae
Source: RefSeq, a predicted model, not a curated record
AGCGGUUCUGCAUGUAGCUGUAGAUCAGACACAUCAGUCCUCCGGCUCCUUCACUGAAGCCCAGCAGGUCUACGAUGUUGGGAUGUCUGAACCUGAAAGCAACACGCGUGUUCAUGUCUGAGCGGUGCGCUCCGCUUCACUCUGACGGCGGGACUCACUUCGACAGGUUCUCCACUUCGGUCUGGAAGCUUUUCCUGAGGAGAGUCCAGUCCAUCUGGCCGUCCUGCCAGCAGCAGCAGCAGCUUCAGACGUAACGUGUGCAGCAGGACGCUGGCAGCGAUAAACCGAUCAGGAUCGUUGUCAGAGUUCUGCAGCCUCGGUAAAAACCAGACAGGUUUUUCCACCACCACCGUCUCUCUUCAUCUGCGACUUCAUCCAUCUCACUGCUGCUGUGGAAGAGGAAGUGAAGCAAACUAAUGUUUGCCGUCAUUCCGGGAGGAUUAACAAAAAACUCCAACCGCUGGACAUCGGUGUAAACAGGCCGUUCAAACAGAAGCGGCGAGCGGCGAGGGAGCGAUGGACGCCAGACUGAACACACGUUUACUGAGACGCGGCGCCGGGCGAGUUACGCCGCCAGGUGUGGAUGGACUGGAUGGAUCUGCCUCACUGUCAUCAGAGCUUCGCUGAAGCCGCAUCGUAGCUGAACCUGGAAACGACUCCGACAACAAUGAGGGGGAACCGGGUAUGUUGGAUGUUCAGUUCAGACACAGAGGAGGAAGAUUUGAGGAAGAAGAAUAAAAAUAACGUGUUUUGUUACAUAGUGGAAUAAAGUUAAACUGAACUCAC